UACACUAGAGGGAGGAGUGAGAGGAAGUGGGUUAAAAAAACAGAACAGCACAGAAAGCUUACUUGCAGCUCCCCUCCUCUUCCCCAUAAGAAAAAUACUGACCGCAGUUGUGUACAGUUUGGACUUUCUUUACUCAUCAUAGCUCAACCUGAAUUUCCAGAAGGUCACCCACAGCCUCCCAGGAAAGCAUCCUUGCCCACUAUCUAACCACACUUCUUGGCAAACAUGCAGCUGUAAGUGGCAGGAUUUGGUCAAACCAGUGCAAGGACUAGAAGGCAAUGCAGAUGCUACUGAGUCACGGGGAACCUGGAGCCUAUCCCAGGGAGCAUCGGGCACAAGGCAGGGUACACCCUGGACACGGUGCCAGUCCAUCACAGGGCACAUGUGUAAAAGGUUUUAUUUUAAAAAGUCUUAGAUGCUUAUUUUAUGUCUUUUGAAUUACUACAUCAUACAAAAGAGCAAAGUCUGCAGAGAA
Long non-coding RNA from Ictalurus punctatus (channel catfish), 475 nucleotides. NCBI's taxonomy places the organism in Eukaryota, Metazoa, Chordata, Actinopteri, Siluriformes, Ictaluridae. The record is from Ensembl.